UGGGGAAUUUUGGACAAUGGGCGAAAGCCUGAUCCAGCAAUGCCGCGUGUGUGAAGAAGGCCUUCGGGUUGUAAAGCACUUUUGUCCGGAAAGAAAUCCUUGGCUCUAAUACAGUCGGGGGAUGACGGUACCGGAAGAAUAAGCACCGGCUAACUACGUGCCAGCAGCCGCGGUAAUACGUAGGGUGCAAGCGUUAAUCGGAAUUACUGGGCGUAAAGCGUGCGCAGGCGGUUUGCUAAGACCGAUGUGAAAUCCCCGGGCUCAACCUGGGAACUGCAUUGGUGACUGGCAGGCUAGAGUAUGGCAGAGGGGGGUAGAAUUCCACGUGUAGCAGUGAAAUGCGUAGAGAUGUGGAGGAAUACCGAUGGCGAAGGCAGCCCCCUGGGCCAAAUACUGACGCUCAUGCACGAAAAGCGUGGGGAGCAAAACAGGAUUAGAUACCCUGGUAGUCCACGCCCUAAAACGAUGUCAACUAGUUGUUGGGGAUUCAUUUCCUUAGUAACGUAGCUAACGCGUGAAGUUGACCGCCUGGGGAGUACGGUCGCAAGAUUAAAAACUCAAAUGAAUUGACGGGGUCAUAGCUGUUUCCU
This 590-nucleotide ribosomal RNA is filed under the name uncultured bacterium. RNAcentral describes it as "partial 16S ribosomal RNA". It matches the Rfam family "Bacterial small subunit ribosomal RNA", at positions 355 to 1375 of the family's 1533-position model. The record is from RNAcentral.